AUGUGGCAUAAUGAUGUUGCUCUUUUUUCCCCGUCUUAUCGACCAUGGUGACCAAACCGAAAUUAAGCCAAAUUGACUGAAGCCACAU
Small nucleolar RNA from Engraulis encrasicolus (European anchovy), 88 nucleotides. RefSeq annotates it as small nucleolar SNORD12/SNORD106. The transcript has a single exon. The record is from RefSeq and is a predicted model, not a curated record. Lineage: Eukaryota; Metazoa; Chordata; Actinopteri; Clupeiformes; Engraulidae.